Molecule: unclassified non-coding RNA, 337 nt
Filed under: soil metagenome
Description: partial contains 5.8S ribosomal RNA, internal transcribed spacer 2, and large subunit ribosomal RNA
Rfam family: 5.8S ribosomal RNA (bases 1-120)
Source: RNAcentral
GAUGAAGAACGUAGCGAAAUGCGAUAAGUAGUGUGAAUUGCAGAAUUCAGUGAAUCAUCGAAUCUUUGAACGCACAUUGCGCCCCUUGGUAUUCCAUGGGGCAUGCCUGUUCGAGUGUCAUUUGUACCUUCAAGCUCUGCUUGGUGUUGGGUGUUUGUCUCGCCUCUGCGUGUAGACUCGCCUCAAAACAAAUGGCAGCCGGCGUAUUGAUUUCGGAGCGCAGUACAUCUCGCGCUUUGCACUCAUAACGACGACGUCCAAAAGUACAUUUUUACACUCUUGACCUCGGAUCAGGUAGGGAUACCCGCUGAACUUAAGCAUAUCAAUAAGCGGAGGA